GCGGGUGUAGUUUAGUGGUAAAACUUCAGCCUUCCAAGCUGUUGUCGCGAGUUCGAUUCUCGUCACCCGCU
This 71-nucleotide transfer RNA is filed under the name Streptococcus agalactiae. RNAcentral describes it as "tRNA-Gly". It matches the Rfam family "tRNA". Rfam says of the family: Transfer RNA (tRNA) molecules are approximately 80 nucleotides in length. Lineage: Bacteria; Bacillati; Bacillota; Bacilli; Lactobacillales; Streptococcaceae. RNAcentral also lists the same sequence under 1 other name. The record is from RNAcentral.